RNAcentral lists this long non-coding RNA (499 nucleotides) under Mytilus galloprovincialis (Mediterranean mussel). The record is from RNAcentral. Lineage: Eukaryota; Metazoa; Mollusca; Bivalvia; Mytilida; Mytilidae.
GUCCCCCUGUACCCACUAAAUCCACAAAACAUUGGUAUCGAACGAAUAUUAAUAAAUCAUCAGAUUAAUCUAGAGAGCUAUAACUUUAAACAAAUGUAGGAGGAAAGGGAAGGUCAAUUUGUACUCAAGUCCAACCAAAACAUUAAAGAUUAAACCAGCAAACUAAACUAAUGUAUGAUUAUGCUACCAUGUAUGAUCAGAAAAAAUUGUAUUCAAGUGACGAUUUGAAAACAUUCUUAGCAUUGUCUCUUAAUUGUACUGGUUUUAUUGCUCAACCGUACAAGCUAGCUACAAGAAUAAACUUUAAGAUUCUUCUCAUAUUGGUGGGUCGAACUUGGUUUUAUGGCUAUCCAAAAUCCCGCCUAUACCGUUAAAAUGACAACAAUAUGUGAUAGGAAUACAGCACAAAUACACGCAAUAACACGCACAACACAGAACUACAUGUAUAUGUAAUAUAAAAGUACAUUACAACAUGUGAACCAUAGAAUAAUAAAAAAAA